UACGGAGGGUGCAAGCGUUGUUCGGAAUCACUGGGCGUAAAGCGCGUGUAGGCGGCCACUUAAGUCUGAUGUGAAAGCCCUGGGCUCAACUCAGGAAGUGCAUUGGAUACUGGGUGGCUGGAGUACCGGAGAGGAGGGUGGAAUUCCUGGUGUAGCGGUGAAAUGCGUAGAUAUCAGGAGGAACACCGAUGGCGAAGGCAGGUCUCUGGGCCACUACUGACGCUGAGAAGCGAAAGCAUGGGGAGCGAACAGG
RNAcentral lists this ribosomal RNA (253 nucleotides) under uncultured bacterium. RNAcentral describes it as "partial 16S ribosomal RNA". It matches the Rfam family "Bacterial small subunit ribosomal RNA", at positions 524 to 776 of the family's 1533-position model. The record is from RNAcentral.